GGUCCUCAAGAUGGCCCCAAGGUCAUCGGGACAUCUCUGUGGUCUUCAAGAUGUCCCUAAGGUCCUCAGGAUGUCCCCAAGGUCAUCAAGAUGGCCCCAAGGUCAUCAGGACGUCUCUGCGGUCUUCAAGAUGUCCUCGUGGUCCUCAAGAUGUCCCUAUGGUCGUCAAGAUGUCCCCAAGGUCCUCAGGAUGUCCCCAAGGUCAUCAAGAUGGCCCCAAGGUCAUCAGGACGUCUCUGUGGUCCUCAGGAUGUCCCCAAGGUCCUCAAGCUGGCCCCAAGGUCCUCAGGAUGUGCACGUGGCCCUCAAGAUGUCCCCAAGGCCCUCAAGAUGGCCCCAAGGUCCUCAGGAUGUCCCCAAGGUCCUCAAGAUGUCCCCAAGGUCAUCGGGACGUCCCUGUGCUCCUCAAGAUGUCCCCUGUGGUCCUCAAGGGGUUCCCAUCAUCUCCAGGACGUCCCUGUGCUCCUCAAGAUGUCCCCAGGGUCAUCAGGAUGUCCCCAAGAUUUCCCCAAGGCCACCAGGACGUCUCCAAGGUCCCUUAGAUAGCCCCAAGAUCUUCAGGAUGUCCCCAAGGCCACCGGGAUGUCCUCAGAUGUCCCCAUGGUCUUCAAGAUGUCCCCAAGGCCACCAGGACGUCCCCAAGGUCCCUUAGCUAGCCCCAAGAUCUCCAGGAUGUCCCCAAGGCCACCAGGAUGUCCUCAGAUGUCCCCAUGGUCUUCAGGACGUCCCCAAGGCCACCAGGACGUCCCCAUGGUCCCCAAGAUGGCCCUUGUGGUCUUCAAGAUGUCCCCAGAUGUCCCCAAGUUGUCCAGGAUGUCCCCAUGAUCUUCAGGAUGUCCCCAAGAUGUCCCCAAGGCCACCGGGAUGUCCUCAGAUGUCCCCAUGGUCUUCAGGAUGUCCCCAAGGCCACCAGGACGUCCCCAUGAUCCUCAAGAUGUCCCCAUGAUCUCCUAGAUGUCCCCAAAAUCUUCAGGAUGUCCCCAAGAUGUCCCCAAGGCCACCUGGACGUCUCCAUGGUCCUCAAGAUGUCCCCCCAAGUUCUUCAGAAUGUCCCCAAGGCUACCAGAAUGUCCCCAUGGUCCCCAAGAUGUCCCCAAAUUGUCCAGAAUGUCCCCAAAGUCUUCAGGAUGUCCCCAAGAUGUCCCCAAGGCCACCAGGACGUCUCCAUGGUCCUCAAGAUGUCCCCCCAAGUUCUUCAGAAUGUCCCCAAGGCUACCAGAAUGUCCCCAUGGUCCCCAAGAUGUCCCCAAAUUGUCCAGAAUGUCCCCAAAGUCUUCAGGAUGUCCCCAAGAUGUCCCCAAGGCCACCAGGACGUCACCAAGGUCCCUUAGCUAGCCCCAAGAUCUCCAGGAUGUCCCCAAGGCCACCAGGAUGUCCUCAGAUGUCCCCAUGGUCUUCAGGACGUCCCCAAGGCCACCAGGACGUCCCCA
This 1430-nucleotide long non-coding RNA is filed under the name Chrysolophus pictus (golden pheasant). RNAcentral's name for it is "lncRNA (ENSCPIG00010009538.1)". The record is from RNAcentral. Lineage: Eukaryota; Metazoa; Chordata; Aves; Galliformes; Phasianidae.